AUAACUUACGGGAAACCGGAGCUAAUACGAUAAUAUAUUGAACCGCAUGGUUCAAUAGUGAAAGACGGUUUUGCUGUCACUUAUAGAUGGAUCCGCGCCGCAUUAGCUAGUUGGUAAGGUAACGGCUUACCAAGGCAGCGAUGCGUAGCCGACCUGAGAGGGUGAUCGGCCACACUGGAACUGAGACACGGUCCAGACUCCUACGGGAGGCAGCCAGUA
Molecule: ribosomal RNA, 219 nt
Filed under: uncultured Staphylococcus sp.
Lineage: Bacteria; Bacillati; Bacillota; Bacilli; Caryophanales; Staphylococcaceae
Description: partial 16S ribosomal RNA
Rfam family: Bacterial small subunit ribosomal RNA
Source: RNAcentral